This 385-nucleotide long non-coding RNA is filed under the name Oreochromis niloticus (Nile tilapia). Its description in RNAcentral is "lncRNA (ENSONIG00000029768.1)". The record is from RNAcentral. Lineage: Eukaryota; Metazoa; Chordata; Actinopteri; Cichliformes; Cichlidae.
UUUUCAGGUUUUCACUGUCAAAAAGCCAGUUUUAUUAAUCAUGAUGUGCUUUUUCCUUCAACAGGAAAUCCCAUAGCUCAGGGAGAUCCAUCUGUUUCACCAGAAGGAAAUCCCACGGUUCAUGGCGAUCCAUCUGUUUCACCAGAAGGAAAUCCCACGGUUCAUGGCGAUCCAUCUGUUUCACCAGAAGGUAAGAGUCAACAUCAGCUAUGGAAGCUCUAUAUCCACAUCAUUAAACAUCAUCAUCACCACCGUCUCUAAUCCUGUGAGAUACAACCUGCCGGCAAGUGCGCUUAGAUCAGCUAAACAGGUGCUUUUGACUUUAACAGUACAUUUAUAAAUUACAUUUAAUAAAUCCACGUCCAAUAUAAUUAGCAUGCUUAUU